GAAGAAGAAGAAGGAGAGGAAGAAGCAGAAUCAGAUACAACCAAACCUGGAGGAAGUUUCAUAUAAACUUCCUCAUCUAAAUCACCAUGAAGGAAAUCAUUAUUGACAUCAAGCUGAAACAAUGGUCAGUGGUUCUUGACAGCCACAACAAUAAGGCAUUUCACUGAAGUCAUUUUAACAACAGGAGAGAAUGUGUCUGUAAAAUCCACACCCUCAACUUGGGUAUCACCUCAUUAUCCCUUUGAGGGAUAGGGACAGUAGCAUAAGCUAGGCAACCAAAAGCCCUCAGGUGAGAGUAGGAUGAGGGAGAACCAUGUAAAAUUUCAUGAGGUGAUUUAUGGUGAAGAACUCUGGAUGGAAGUCUGUUAAUGAGGUAGGUUGCAGUUAACAAGCAAUCACCCCAAAAUGAUACAGGCAAACCAGACUGGAAAAGAAGGGCUCUACAAGUUUCAAGUAAAGAUCUGUGUUUUCUUUCAUGGGGGAGAACCAUGUAAAAUUUCAUGAGGUGAUUUAUGGUGAAGAACUCUGGAUGGAAGUCUGUUAAUGAGGUAGGUUGCAGUUAACAAGCAAUCACCCCAAAAUGAUACAGGCAAACCAGACUGGAAAAGAAGGGCUCUACAAGUUCCAAGUAAGAUAUGUGUUUUCUUUCAACAAGCCCAUUCUGUUGAGGGGAAUGAGGACAAGUGGUUUGAUGUACAAUCUCCAGUUCACUAAAAAAAGAAAUCCCUUCUGCACUGGAACCCAGUUCCAGGGCAUUAUCACUCCUGACAACCUGGACCAUGGAGUUAAACUGAGUUUGAACAUAGGAGAUAAAAGAUUUAAGUAAAGGGAAGGCAUUACUUUUAGAACCCAUCAAAUGUGUCCAGGUGUNNNNNNNNNNNNNNNNNNNNNNNNNNNNNNNNNNNNNNNNACCCAUCAAAUGUGUCCAGGUGGCCCUAGAAAAAUCAUCAACUAUGGUGAGAAAGUAUUUACUGCCAAAGGAAGUAGAAGUAUGAUAAGGACCCCAAGUAUCUACAUGUAUAAGUUGAAAGGGUCUAGUAGUGCUAAUACUGCUAUCAGGGAAAGGCAAUCUGGUUUGUUUUACCAUAGGACAAAUAGAACAAGGAAAAGGUUGUUUAGUAGCAAAGGGAAAAGAUAAACCAGAAAUAUGUUUCAUAUUAGCAAAAGAGGUAUGUGCUAAUCUNNN
This 1186-nucleotide long non-coding RNA is filed under the name Nicotiana benthamiana. RNAcentral describes it as "long non-coding RNA (NBEN_LNC006853)". The record is from RNAcentral. Lineage: Eukaryota; Viridiplantae; Streptophyta; Magnoliopsida; Solanales; Solanaceae.